UCGCCGCGCUCGAGCCGGGACAGGGUCGAGCGGCUCACGUCCGCACGCUGCGCGAGGUCGUCGAGCGACCAUCCGCGCUCGGUGCGCAGCUCGGCGAGCC
Molecule: transfer RNA, 100 nt
Filed under: Dactylosporangium sucinum
Lineage: Bacteria; Bacillati; Actinomycetota; Actinomycetes; Micromonosporales; Micromonosporaceae
Description: tRNA-Val
Source: RNAcentral